Molecule: ribosomal RNA, 301 nt
Filed under: uncultured bacterium
Lineage: Bacteria
Description: partial 16S ribosomal RNA
Rfam family: Bacterial small subunit ribosomal RNA
Source: RNAcentral
CAGCAGCCGCGGUAAUACGGAGGGAGCUAGCGUUAUUCGGAAUUACUGGGCGUAAAGCGCACGUAGGCGGCUUUGUAAGUUAGAGGUGAAAGCCUGGAGCUCAACUCCAGAAUUGCCUUUAAGACUGCAUCGCUUGAAUCCAGGAGAGGUGAGUGGAAUUCCGAGUGUAGAGGUGAAAUUCGUAGAUAUUCGGAAGAACACCAGUGGCGAAGGCGGCUCACUGGACUGGUAUUGACGCUGAGGUGCGAAAGCGUGGGGAGCAAACAGGAUUAGAUACCCCAGUAGUCCCUGUCUCUUAUAA